CAGUCGCCGCGGUAAUACAGAGGGUGCGAGCGUUAAUCGGAUUUACUGGGCGUAAAGCGUGCGUAGGCGGCUUUUUAAGUCCGUUGUGAAAGCCCUGGGCUCAACCUGGGAAUUGCAGUGGAUACUGGGUCACUAGAGUGUGGUAGAGGAUAGUGGAAUUUCCGGUGUAGCAGUGAAAUGCGUAGAGAUCGGAAGGAACAUCUGUGGCGAAGGCGACUAUCUGGGCCAACACUGACACUGAGGCACGAAAGCGUGGGGAGCAAACAGGAUUAGAUACCCGCGUAGUCCCUGUCUCUUAUAU
Molecule: ribosomal RNA, 301 nt
Filed under: uncultured bacterium
Lineage: Bacteria
Description: partial 16S ribosomal RNA
Rfam family: Bacterial small subunit ribosomal RNA
Source: RNAcentral